RNAcentral lists this ribosomal RNA (295 nucleotides) under uncultured bacterium. RNAcentral describes it as "partial 16S ribosomal RNA". It matches the Rfam family "Bacterial small subunit ribosomal RNA", at positions 28 to 336 of the family's 1533-position model. The record is from RNAcentral.
GAUAAACGCUGGCGGCGUGCCUAACACAUGCAAGUCGAACGCCCUUUUGCGCAAGUGAGAGGGAGUGGCGGACGGGUGAGUACCACGUGGGUACCUACCUUGAGGUGAGGAAUACCACCGAGAAAUCGGUGACAAGACCGCAUACGCUUGGCAACAAGCAAAGUCUCGCAAGAGACGCCACAAGAUGGGCCUGCGCCUGAUUAGCUAGUUGGUGAGGUAAUGGCNCACCAAGGCGACGAUCAGUAGCUGGUCUGAGAGGAUGAUCAGCCACACUGGGAUUGAGAACGGCCCAGAC